This 22-nucleotide small RNA is filed under the name Salmonella enterica subsp. enterica serovar Typhi. RNAcentral's name for it is "StyR-369". Lineage: Bacteria; Pseudomonadati; Pseudomonadota; Gammaproteobacteria; Enterobacterales; Enterobacteriaceae. The record is from RNAcentral.
CUUCUGAGUCGUUUCCGUUUCG